GAUGAACGCUGGCGGCGUGCCUAAUACAUGCAAGUCGAGCGAACGGACGAGAAGCUUGCUUUUCUGAUGUUAGCGGCGGACGGGUGAGUAACACGUGGAUAACCUACCUAUAAGACUGGGAUAACUUCGGGAAACCGGAGCUAAUACCGGAUAAUAUUUUGAACCGCAUGGUUCAAAAGUGAAAGACGGUCUUGCUGGCACUUAUAGAUGGAUCCGCGCUGCAUUAGCUAGUUGGUAAGGUAACGGCUUACCAAGGCAACGAUGCAUAGCCGACCUGAGAGGGUGAUCGGCCACACUGGAACUGAGACACGGUCCAGACUCCUACGGGAGGCAGCAGUAGGGAAUCUUCGGCAAUGGGCGAAAGCCUGACGGAGCAACGCCGCGUGAGUGAUGAAGGUCUUCGGAUCGUAAAACUCUGUUAUUAGGGAAGAACAUAUGUGUAAGUAACUGUGCACAUCUUGACGGUACCUAAUCAGAAAGCCACGGCUAACUACGUG
This 497-nucleotide ribosomal RNA is filed under the name uncultured bacterium. RNAcentral describes it as "partial 16S ribosomal RNA". It matches the Rfam family "Bacterial small subunit ribosomal RNA", at positions 28 to 507 of the family's 1533-position model. The record is from RNAcentral.